Molecule: ribosomal RNA, 492 nt
Filed under: uncultured bacterium
Lineage: Bacteria
Description: partial 16S ribosomal RNA
Rfam family: Bacterial small subunit ribosomal RNA
Source: RNAcentral
AGUGAACGCUGGCGGUAGGCCUAACACAUGCAAGUCGAACGGCAGCACAGUAAGAGCUUGCUCUUACGGGUGGCGAGUGGCGUACGGGUGAGGAAUACAUCGGAAUCUACUUUUUCGUGGGGGUUAACGUAGGGAAACUUACGCUAAUACCGCAUACGACCCACGGGUGAAAGCAGGGGAUCUUCGGACCUUGCGCGAUUGAAUGAGCCGCUGUCGGAUUAGCUAGUUGGCGGGGUAAAGGCCCACCAAGGCGACGAUCCGUAGCUGGUCUGAGAGGAUGAUCAGCCACACUGGAACGGAGACACGGUCCAGACUCCUACGGGAGGCAGCAGUGGGGAAUAUUGGACAAUGGGCGCAAGCCUGAUCCAGCCAUACCGCGUGGGUGAAGAAGGCCUUCGGGUUGGAAAGCCCGUUUGUUGGGAAAGAAAAGCAGCAGGUUAAUACCCCGCUGUUCUGACGGUACCCAAAGAAUAAGCACCGGCUAACUUCGUG